GCCAGUGUGGCGGAAUUGGCAGACGCGCAUGACUCAAAAUCAUGUAUCCUCUGGAUGUGCCGGUUCGACCCCGGCCACUGGUA
RNAcentral lists this transfer RNA (83 nucleotides) under Virgibacillus necropolis. It matches the Rfam family "tRNA". Rfam says of the family: Transfer RNA (tRNA) molecules are approximately 80 nucleotides in length. Their secondary structure includes four short double-helical elements and three loops (D, anti-codon, and T loops). Lineage: Bacteria; Bacillati; Bacillota; Bacilli; Caryophanales; Bacillaceae. The record is from Rfam by way of RNAcentral.